Molecule: ribosomal RNA, 253 nt
Filed under: uncultured bacterium
Lineage: Bacteria
Description: partial 16S ribosomal RNA
Rfam family: Bacterial small subunit ribosomal RNA
Source: RNAcentral
UACAGAGGUCCCAAGCGUUGUUCGGAUUCAUUGGGCGUAAAGGGUGCGUAGGUGGCGUCGUAAGUCGGGUGUGAAAUCUCGGGGCUUAACUCCGAAACUGCAUUCGAUACUGCGGUGCUUGAGGACUGGAGAGGAGACUGGAAUUUACGGUGUAGCAGUGAAAUGCGUAGAGAUCGUAAGGAACACCAGUGGCGAAGGCGGGUCUCUGGACAGUUCCUGACACUGAGGCACGAAGGCCAGGGGAGCAAACGGG